Hordeum vulgare subsp. vulgare (domesticated barley) is the source of this 791-nucleotide long non-coding RNA. RefSeq lists it as uncharacterized. NCBI's taxonomy places the organism in Eukaryota, Viridiplantae, Streptophyta, Magnoliopsida, Poales, Poaceae. The record is from RefSeq and is a predicted model, not a curated record. The transcript has 4 exons.
UUUCAAAGCGUUCUCAAAGAUAGGACCUUUUAAUGGAUGCAGCGACUAUGUUAUGUUGUUUUCCCUUUGGUAGAACCGGAAGAAUCUGGCGUGGAAAGGAAUUCUUUCAACACAGUGAUUCCGGAAGUGCAUUACAAAUUGAAAUAUUCUGCAGCAUGCAUCAUGAUAUGAAUGUGCACUCAAGGUUUCGUGCGCCGUGCGCCGGGAGAUCGUGCCUAUAUGUAUUCUGAGUUUGCUGGCAGGCGGCGGAAUGUGAACUAGCGUGCCGGACGAUGGCAGAUUAUAUUAAUUAUCUAGCGUGAAGCAUUCGGUCGUGGCUAUGCAAAUCGGGUGCAUGGCUAGCUUUGUCCAAGAGAAUCCACCAGGGAAGCCAGCUCUAGCAUGAAUCUAUUUUUGCUCGAUCAGGCAGAUCGAACUACUAUAUAGCUUUGAGGUGCCCUCACCAUGCAUUUUCCUUUGAGUGGCGUUAUGUUGGGGAGAGGUCGCCGGUGAGCUGGGACGAGCUCGGAUCGGCUAGCUGUCCAACAAAAAUAUGGUUCAAGUGUGAUGAAAUUAAGCGCACGCAUUUACAAUUGCAUGAGUUUGCCACCUCGAGCGUUAGUCGUGUCAUUGAUCCAAGGCUAAUGGGCUUAUCGACACAGCCGUUGAGUCCCUGUGUUUCAUGUUAACAUGUAGACGAACUUUUGUGUGUUUUUUUGUGCAGACGCACGUUUUCUCGACUCAAAUGUAGCUAUAUAAGUUUGACAAUAUAGUUAUAAAAAAAUACUGUGAAAACUAUAGCAAUUUGAAAA